UUGGAGGGCAAGUCUGGUGCCAGCAGCCGCGGUAAUUCCAGCUCCAAUAGCGUAUAUUAAAGUUGUUGCAGUUAAAAAGCUCGUAGUUGAAUUUCGGGAUCAAUUUAUUGGUCGUGCCAACGGUACGCACUGGUACAAUUGGUUUCCCCCUUCUGACGAAGCAUGAUGUCAUUAAUUUGAUGUCGUGGGGAAUCAGGACUGUUACUUUGAAAAAAUUAGAGUGUUUAAAGCAGGCUUUGGCUUGAAUACAUUAGCAUGGAAUAAUGAAAUAGGACGUUUGAUCUUAUUUCGUUGGUUUCUAAGAUCGACGUAAUGAUUAAUAGGGAUAGUUGGGGGCAUUAGUAUUCAAUUGUCAGAGGUGAAAUUCUUGGAUUUAUUGAAGACUAACUACUGCGAAAACAUUUGCCAAGGAUGUUUUCAUUAAUCAAGAACGAAAGUUAGGGGAUCGAAGACGAUCAGAUACCGUCGUAGUCUUAACCAUAAACUAUGCCGACUAGGGAUCGGAUGAUGUUAAUUUUUUAAUGACUCAUUCGGCGCCUUACGGGAAAC
Molecule: ribosomal RNA, 549 nt
Filed under: uncultured Glomeromycotina
Lineage: Eukaryota; Fungi; Glomeromycota
Description: SSU rRNA
Rfam family: Eukaryotic small subunit ribosomal RNA
Source: RNAcentral